RNAcentral lists this ribosomal RNA (492 nucleotides) under uncultured bacterium. RNAcentral's name for it is "partial 16S ribosomal RNA". It matches the Rfam family "Bacterial small subunit ribosomal RNA", at positions 29 to 507 of the family's 1533-position model. The record is from RNAcentral.
AGUGAACGCUGGCGGUGGGCCUAACACAUGCAAGUCGAACGGCAGCACAGUAAGAGCUUGCUCUUACGGGUGGCGAGUGGCGGACGGGUGAGGAAUACAUCGGAAUCUACUUUUUCGUGGGGGAUAACGUAGGGAAACUUACGCUAAUACCGCAUACGACCUACGGGUGAAAGCAGGGGAUCUUCGGACCUUGCGCGACUGAAUGAGCCGAUGUCGGAUUAGCUAGUUGGCGGGGUAAAGGCCCACCAAGGCGACGAUCCGUAGCUGGUCUGAGAGGAUGAUCAGCCACACUGGAACUGAGACACGGUCCAGACUCCUACGGGAGGCAGCAGUGGGGAAUAUUGGACAAUGGGCGCAAGCCUGAUCCAGCCAUACCGCGUGGGUGAAGAAGGCCUUCGGGUUGUAAAGCCCUUUUGUUGGGAAAGAAAAGCAGCAGGUUAAUACCCCGCUGUUCUGACGGUACCCAAAGAAUAAGCACCGGCUAACUUCGUG